This 1411-nucleotide long non-coding RNA is filed under the name Homo sapiens (human). RNAcentral's name for it is "non-protein coding lnc-CHSY1-5:6". The record is from RNAcentral. Lineage: Eukaryota; Metazoa; Chordata; Mammalia; Primates; Hominidae.
AUUGAGGCUUCUUGGUUAGAAGCUUUAGAAACUUGAGCUAUAUGGGAACACUUUCAGUUUCCCAAGUUAAAACAUGAAAUUGCACAUCAUCAUUUGGAUCCCCAAAGAGGAAAAGAAAAAUUCACAACCUGCCAGUGAAAUACUCAGGCCACUUGGAUGAAGACCGAGGUCCUCCAUAGAAUCCAGGUGUUAUUUACUAACUAAUCAGAAAUUAAUAUCAAAAUAGGACUUAAAAAUAACAAGGCUGUGUUAUUACAGCAGUCUUUCCAGUUGUGUACGCUUUACUAAUCUAAAUUGGGUAACAGAACUGGAGAAAAGGAAGACUACACAGACUUAUCAUAAGCUGUUAGUGAACGUGAUAGAAAUGCGUAAUUUGUUAAAGCGAAUUACAGCUCUGAUUUGUCAAAUGAGGAGGUGAAUUAUCCUAGGAUUUGCUAUGCUGUUGUGGCGUUAGAAGAUUGGAUCUUUAGCAGCAAAGGUAACCUCAACAAUAUUUUCUGCUUAAGAAAGUGCCUUGGUUAAGGUAGACCGUGAUAUCGUCUUUGACUAAGCUCUCUGGGCUAUUGAUUCUGUCAUAUUCCAAAGGCAGUAUUGGUUUGAAGCCGAAUCUCACGGUCAAUGUCAACAUGCAAUCCACAAAGACCCUGGCGCCCUUCCACGGUAUGCACUAACCAAAACUUUCUCACUGUGAAAUCCUUUUUUUAAAAACAAGAAAACAAAAAACAAAAACCAAAAAACCUUACUGUGAAUCCUUUCCCAAGGAAUGGUCCCACCUUCACCUCGGAAAGAGGCGUGGCUUGCUCUGUAAGCAGGUCCACCCUGAGGAGACCGCUGGUGCAAGAGCCCUGCUUGCAGAACACACAGGGGGUUUUCCCACAUUCUUACUGGAGUCAGAUUCGGCAAAGCAUUUCAAGCAACUGCUGGACACUUCAAAUACCACUCCCUGUUAACAACGCCCUGAGUAUCUCACUGUCUCCAGGAUCUGGUUUAAAGGGAAACACAGAAAUGGCCAACAGCUCCCUCCCCAGGCAGGACUGCGAUUUCACAGACAACCUAUAGGCAUCCCCAGUCUGGUGAAUAAACAGGAGAGUGAGAGGAAAACAGCAAUCAUUCAACUCCAGUAGAUGUAAAGCCUCCAGAAGAAUGUGUCCCGGGAAGGUCAGAAAUGUCAUUUUUUUCCUCCAGCACAUUUCAUCUGCCACAUUCCGCCGUCCGAUGUUUGAGGAAGGAGCCCCGCCUUUCCUUCAGGGGUUCUUGUCGCCAAGUUUGAUGGUGACAGUUUUCACUUCUGUGUAUUCGGCCAAAGCGUAUUCACCUCUGUGAUCACAGAAAAGAGGAAAAUUCAAAAUGGGUACAUCCCUUAGCCAUUGUGUAGAAACUGUUCUGAGGCUUCAUCAUUCCAUCAGGCCGU